This 257-nucleotide unclassified non-coding RNA is filed under the name fungal sp. Its description in RNAcentral is "partial contains 5.8S ribosomal RNA, internal transcribed spacer 2, and large subunit ribosomal RNA". The record is from RNAcentral. Lineage: Eukaryota; Fungi.
CGCACAUUGCGCCUAUUAGUAUUCUAGUAGGCAUGCCUGUUCGAGCGUCAUUUCAACCCUCAAGCCCUGGUUGCUUGGUGUUGGGAGCCUGCCGUAAGACGCAGCUCCCCAAAGCUAGCUGGCAGAGCUAGGGUGUGCUCUAAGCGUAGUAGAAUCUCCUCUCGCUUCGGACGCCGCCCCGGCCCUCUCGCCAUUAAAGCCCCAAACUUUUUUCUAUGGUUGACCUCGGAUCAGGUAGGAAUACCCGCUGAACUUAA